RNAcentral lists this ribosomal RNA (631 nucleotides) under uncultured Sphingobacteriales bacterium. Its description in RNAcentral is "bacterial SSU rRNA". It matches the Rfam family "Bacterial small subunit ribosomal RNA", at positions 57 to 685 of the family's 1533-position model. Lineage: Bacteria; Pseudomonadati; Bacteroidota; Sphingobacteriia; Sphingobacteriales. The record is from RNAcentral.
GCAAGUCGAACGGCAGUAGAACCAGCAAUGGGACUAUGAGAGUGGCGAACGGGUGCGUAACGCGUAUGCAACUUACCUCCAACUGGGGAAUAGCCCUGGGAAACCGGGAUUAACACCGCAUAAGAUGGUAGAACCGCAUGGUUCAGCCAUUAAAGUUUACGGUUGGAGAUGGGCAUGCGUACCAUUAGCUAGUUGGCGGGGUAAUAGCCCACCAAGGCGACGAUGGCUAGGGGGUCUGAGAGGAUGAUCCCCCACACUGGUACUGAGAUACGGACCAGACUCCUACGGGAGGCAGCAGUAGGGAAUAUUGGUCAAUGGACGCAAGUCUGAACCAGCCAUGCCGCGUGCAGGAUGAAGGCGCUCUGCGUUGUAAACUGCUUUUGUACGGGAAGAAUAUAUCGUUUGCGAACGGUUUUGACGGUACCGUAAGAAUAAGGAUCGGCUAACUACGUGCCAGCAGCCGCGGUAAUACGUAGGAUCCAAGCGUUGUCCGGAUUUAUUGGGUUUAAAGGGUGCGCAGGCGGCCUGAUAAGUCAGUGGUGAAAGCCCGUUGCUUAACAACGGAACUGCCAUUGAUACUGUCGGGCUUGAGUACAGUUGAGGUUGGCGGAAUGUAUCAUGUAGCGGUGAA